This 465-nucleotide ribosomal RNA is filed under the name Vreelandella stevensii. RNAcentral describes it as "partial 16S ribosomal RNA". It matches the Rfam family "Bacterial small subunit ribosomal RNA", at positions 338 to 795 of the family's 1533-position model. Lineage: Bacteria; Pseudomonadati; Pseudomonadota; Gammaproteobacteria; Oceanospirillales; Halomonadaceae. The record is from RNAcentral.
CCUACGGGUGGCUGCAGUGGGGAAUAUUGGACAAUGGGGGGAACCCUGAUCCAGCCAUGCCGCGUGUGUGAAGAAGGCCCUCGGGUUGUAAAGCACUUUCAGUGAGGAAGAACGCCUGGUGGUUAAUACCCAUCAGGAAAGACAUCACUCACAGAAGAAGCACCGGCUAACUCCGUGCCAGCAGCCGCGGUAAUACGGAGGGUGCGAGCGUUAAUCGGAAUUACUGGGCGUAAAGCGCGCGUAGGUGGCUUGAUAAGCCGGUUGUGAAAGCCCCGGGCUCAACCUGGGAACGGCAUCCGGAACUGUCAAGCUAGAGUGCAGGAGAGGAAGGUAGAAUUCCCGGUGUAGCGGUGAAAUGCGUAGAGGUCGGGAGGAAUACCAGUGGCGAAGGCGGCCUUCUGGACUGACACUGACACUGAGGUGCGAAAGCGUGGGUAGCAAACAGGAUUAGAUACCCCUGUAGUC